CGGACGAACGGCUGGCGGGCGUGCCUAACACAUGCAAGUCGAGCGGAGUCGAUCGACGGAAGCCUUCGGGCGGAAGAUGGUUGACUUAGCGGCGGAUGGGUGAGUAACGCGUGGGCAACCUGCCUCGAAGACCGGGAUAACAGCCCGAAAGGGCUGCUAAUACCGGAUGUGGUCAAGGAUCCGCAUGGAUUUUUGAUUAAAGGGGAAACCCGUUUCGAGAUGGGCCCGCGUCCUAUCAGCUAGUUGGUGAGGUAAAAGCUCACCAAGGCGACGACGGGUAGCCGGCCUGAGAGGGUGACCGGCCACACUGGAACUGAGACACGGUCCAGACUCCUACGGGGGGCAGCAGUGGGGAAUCUUCCACAAUGGGCGAAAGCCUGAUGGAGCGACGCCGCGUGAGCGAAGAAGGCCUUCGGGUUGUAAAGCUCUGUCUGGAGGGACGAAGGAAGUGACGGUACCUCCGGAGGAAGCCACGGCUAACUACGUG
This 487-nucleotide ribosomal RNA is filed under the name uncultured bacterium. Its description in RNAcentral is "bacterial SSU rRNA". It matches the Rfam family "Bacterial small subunit ribosomal RNA", at positions 35 to 507 of the family's 1533-position model. The record is from RNAcentral.